UAAAAGCUAAAACAAAAACUAAAACCACCAUUAGUUUCAUAGAAACAUGGUAGAGACAAGAACCAACACAACUUUCAAAGAAAGUAAAGUGGAGUGAAACUACAACCACCAUAGUUUUUAGAAAAAAAAAAUAGAGUACAUUAUAACUAAAAAGACUAAAAUCUAAAAGAAAAAUUUAAAGAAAAUUGUUGGAAAGGCCAUGGUUGGCAACUAACCUGGAGGCCAAUGCUGCUGCCGAAAAGAUUAAGGGACAAUUUAGUAUAACUUUUAAAAAAUGUUUUUGGGAUAAAAAGUAUUUUAGGACAAAAAUAUUCUUUUUUUUUUUUUGAAAACUUCAGAGUAUAUAGUAUGAAACCAAAAAAUAAACAGCAAACAAUGAACAUCAAAUAAAAUGGCACAAACUCAGAACAAAUCUAGAUAUUUUAACCGAAUAGUCUAGAAAUCAUAAUAAUUACAUCUAAUUAAUGCCCAGUCAGAAAUUGCUGAACCCUGUCUUGUCAUUUGAGUCUUAUUUCUUUCUUUGCUUUUGACAGUUUAGUUUUUGGGAAAGUUGUUCUUCUAAAACCGAUUUAUUUGCUCUCUUUUCCUUUCCUCUCAGUUCUCUUCUUCCCCGUUCUCUCCUCAAUCCGGUUCUCUUCUCCACUCAAUCUUUCGUUGAUUUUCAGCAUACCCCAGGACCUUCAUAUCCAGGUACAUCUCUUCCUUCCUUUUUAGAGUUUCUACUGCCAAUAUAUGCGCGAGAGCAUUUGCAAAUUUUGGUGUGUGUUUGAAUAUGAAGCUUCUCGAUCUGUUCAGUUUUUGUUUAAUAUCAUAUAUAUAUGCUCCAAUAUCUGAAUGACCUUGACUCUUUGAUAUACAUUUCUUAAUUAUUGUGAGGGAAUCACCUUCAAUAAUGAUCUUCGGCCAUUCUUGUUCAACUCCUGUUUGGACCGCUUUUUGGCACGCUAUUGCUUCAGCUGCAAAGGCGAAAGUUACCCCAUGGUGGAUCUCUGAACAGGAAAGUAAGACAACCCCUUCUUCAUUUCUAGCUACAAUUCCUAAGGCAGAUUGUUGAUGAGUCGCAUCAUUAGCACCAUCAAAAUUAAUUUUGACGAACUCACUAGUCUUUUAUUUCUCUCUCCCCAGAUAGCCCAGAGACCGCAGCAGAAGAGUUUGUUCUGACAUGUAGUGAGCUGAUCAAAGAUCUAGGGAAUCCACUGUAAAAAAUCCAUGGUAGAAUUUAUAAGAAUAUUUUGAAGAUUUAAUAGUGUCCAAACUUCCACUGUGACAGGACAUUCGCGAAAGAUAUGAUCGAUUGUUUCAUUAUUUUCUCCACAUCGGGGGCAGCUUGUAUUACUAACGAGCUUUCAGUAGUGCAUAUUAAUCCUCGUAGGCAGAUAGUUCCAUGAAAUUCUCCAUACUGUAGCCUUUAUUUUAGUAGGUAGAUUUAGGAGCCAGAGUUUUUUGUAAGAAUUCUCGUAGUUGGUUUGUAAAGCAUAAGCUCUAGGAAUUUCAUCAAAAAGUUAUAAUAGUUUGUAGGCGCUGCAGACCAAGAAUUCCCCUGAAUGUUCACCUCCUCAGGCAAACAGAUCAUCCUGAGGUGUGCGCACUAAAGGUAUCUGGAUAAUUUUUCCAGCAUCGUCUUUUGAAAA
Molecule: long non-coding RNA, 1631 nt
Organism: Gossypium arboreum
Lineage: Eukaryota; Viridiplantae; Streptophyta; Magnoliopsida; Malvales; Malvaceae
Exons: 2
Source: RefSeq, a predicted model, not a curated record